GUCUAGAUAGCUCAGUGGUAGAGCAUUGGGUUGAAAACCCUUGUGUCACGAGUUCAACUCUCGUUCUAGACA
This 72-nucleotide transfer RNA is filed under the name Palmaria palmata (dulse). Its description in RNAcentral is "tRNA-Phe". It matches the Rfam family "tRNA". From Rfam's summary of the family: Transfer RNA (tRNA) molecules are approximately 80 nucleotides in length. Their secondary structure includes four short double-helical elements and three loops (D, anti-codon, and T loops). The record is from RNAcentral. RNAcentral also lists the same sequence under 1 other name. Lineage: Eukaryota; Rhodophyta; Florideophyceae; Palmariales; Palmariaceae.